AGAGUCCUACGGGGCGCAGCAGUGAGGAAUAUUGGUCAAUGGGCGGAAGCCUGAACCAGCCAAGUCGCGUGAGGGAAUAAGGCCCUACGGGUCGUAAACCUCUUUUGCCGGGGAGCAAGGGCCGGGACGCGUCCCGGUCCGGAGAGUACCCGGCGAAAAAGCAUCGGCUAACUCCGUGCCAGCAGCCGCGGUAAUACGGAGGAUGCGAGCGUUAUCCGGAUUUAUUGGGUUUAAAGGGUGCGUAGGCGGGCUUUUAAGUCAGCGGUAAAAAUUCGGGGUUCAACCCCGUCCGGCCGUUGCAACUG
This 305-nucleotide ribosomal RNA is filed under the name uncultured bacterium. Its description in RNAcentral is "bacterial SSU rRNA". It matches the Rfam family "Bacterial small subunit ribosomal RNA", at positions 333 to 635 of the family's 1533-position model. The record is from RNAcentral.